AUCUUUUUUUGCAAAACAUUCAAGUUUGGUCUUAAGUCUGUUGUAACAAUAGGUCAAUAGAACUUUUUGAUUUGAUGUGAGGUGGAGGGGAAUGCCAUGGUUUGAACCUUUCACCUUGUAUAUUCUGUGAGGUCUCUUCGAAUAUACCAUACUAAUGAAAACAGACUCAGUUGUCCUGAAAGGAAAAAAAAAAGAUUUUGA
This 201-nucleotide unclassified non-coding RNA is filed under the name Hevea brasiliensis (rubber tree). The record is from RNAcentral. Lineage: Eukaryota; Viridiplantae; Streptophyta; Magnoliopsida; Malpighiales; Euphorbiaceae.